ACGCUCGACACCUACGGGAGGCAGCAGUGGGGAAUAUUGCACAAUGGGGGAAACCCUGAUGCAGCGACGCCGCGUGAGUGAAGAAGUAUUUCGGUAUGUAAAGCUCUAUCAGCAGGGAAGAAAAUGACGGUACCUGAGUAAGAAGCCCCGGCUAACUACGUGCCGGCAGCCGCGGUAAUCUGAGCGGGCUGGCAAGGC
RNAcentral lists this ribosomal RNA (198 nucleotides) under uncultured bacterium. Its description in RNAcentral is "partial 16S ribosomal RNA". It matches the Rfam family "Bacterial small subunit ribosomal RNA", at positions 328 to 539 of the family's 1533-position model. The record is from RNAcentral.